GGAGCUAAUACCGGAUAGUUCCUUGAACCGCAUGGUUCAAGGAUGAAAGACGGUUUCGGCUGUCACUUACAGAUGGACCCGCGGCGCAUUAGCUAGUUGGGUGAGGUAACGGCUCACCAAGGGCGACGAUGCGUAGCCGACCUGAGAGGGUGAUCGGCCACACUGGGACUGAGACACGGCCCAGACUCCUACGGGAGGCAGCAGUAGGGAAUCUUCCGCAAUGGACGAAAGUCUGACGGAGCAACGCCGCGUGAGUGAUGAAGGUUUUCGGAUCGUAAAGCUCUGUUGUUAGGGAAGAACAAGUGCAAGAGUAACUGCUUGCACCUUGACGGUACCUAACCAGAAAGCCACGGCUAACUACGUGCCAGCAGCCGCGGUAAUACGUAGGUGGCAAGCGUUGUCCGGAAUUAUUGGGCGUAAAGGGCUCGCAGGCGGUUUCUUAAGUCUGAUGUGAAAGCCCCCGGCUCAACCGGGGAGGGUCAUUGGAAACUGGGAAACUUGAGUGCAGAAGAGGAGAGUGGAAUUCCACGUGUAGCGGUGAAAUGCGUAGAGAUGUGGAGGAACACCAGUGGCGAAGGCGACUCUCUGGUCUGUAACUGACGCUGAGGAGCGAAAGCGUGGGGAGCGAACAGGAUUAGAUACCCUGGUAGUCCACGCCGUAAACAAUGAGUACUAAGUGUUAGGGGGUUUCCGCCCCUUA
RNAcentral lists this ribosomal RNA (700 nucleotides) under Bacillus aerophilus. Its description in RNAcentral is "bacterial SSU rRNA". It matches the Rfam family "Bacterial small subunit ribosomal RNA", at positions 159 to 842 of the family's 1533-position model. The record is from RNAcentral. Lineage: Bacteria; Bacillati; Bacillota; Bacilli; Caryophanales; Bacillaceae.